AUUCUUAGAGAUACUCUAUAUAAUCCUUUAUAUAGCCAAUACAUUACAUACUGUUUAGUUUAAGAUAUAAUA
RNAcentral lists this transfer RNA (72 nucleotides) under Ilyonectria destructans. Its description in RNAcentral is "tRNA-Gly". The record is from RNAcentral. Lineage: Eukaryota; Fungi; Ascomycota; Sordariomycetes; Hypocreales; Nectriaceae.